CUAGGCUGACUGAGAACCUUCAAAAUAAGUCUACAUAUAACCCUUGAAAUAACUGUUGAAAAAAAUGGCGGCCACUGCGUGAGUUUUCGCUCUAAAAUUUGUAGAUUUCCUAGUACCCCUCGAAAAAAGACUGUAAAACAUAAACACUCGCUGAUUUAUUUCUAAGCAAGACUGAAAAAUUUUGUAUGAAAUUUCACAUUUUCGUUCUCAGAGUAUUUAGGUCCUCCUUGUCUUAUUCUCUUUCAUUUAUUUUUCCUCUUUUUCCUUUGAUUGCUCUUUCUCUCCCUCGCGCUCGCUCUCAAAGUAGAUCGCAUUUUCUCUAUGUGCGAAGAUGAAUCACCAAAUAUGAGGAAUCUCUGAUCGGAGGAAGGAAUUCCGACGAGGACAGCAGCGCCGGCGAGAACUGUCAUACUCUCUCCGUUACCACCUCCGGCGAAUCUUCCGAUGAUUGUCUCAACAAACAUGGUUGGUUCUCUACUCUGCACUCGAGAAGCCAUGCGUGUGAUGAAGAACCAGGCUAAGGGGGGCCACAUAUUUAACAUGGAUUGUGCAGGCUCAGGGGGAUCUAGUACCCCUCCAACAGCUGUGUAAGUUCAAUUUUUAGUACUAUGGUAAUUUAGUUUAUUCUCUAGUGAGCAGAGGUAUGUCAUGUGGUUUUUGCUAAUCAUUAUUCAAUGAUUCAUGGAAGUUUGUACUAUUCCAAGUUGUUGGUGACUCAAAACGAUUUUCAUUAUUUUAUAUCCUUCGACUUGUAUCUAUGGGUCCACAAAGUGUGGCCUAAGGCAGCUUCAAGCAUCACUCUUGAAAGAGUGCAAGCGGUCCAAAGUUGGGGUGCACACAUCAUCUCCAGGCAUGGUCCUUACUGAUCUUCUGCGUAGGUAUGGAAUAUAUAUCACGGCAUUUUGCAGUGCACUUAUAGCUCCAUUCCGAUUCAUCUCCUGACAACAUUUUAAGGGCCUGAAGUCCCUAAACUAUUGAAUGAAACUGCGAGAACUUGUUUCUCUUGGUUUAUAUUGUAUUUAUUCAUAUUACAUUGGUUGACUUCUUAUGAUAUGAUUGCCCUGCUCAAAUGUUUAUCAUAAAAUACUUUAGUUGAAAGAUAGUGGGUUUAAUCUUUUCCCUUUAUUUAUGAUUUCUUUUUGUUAACCCUUUUCCGAAUCCAUUUAUUAGAACUUGUAUUGCAGAAGUUUCUAUAAUGUUACAGAAGUUUUAGCUCAAACAAUUUCAAUGGAACAUUACCUAUGCAGCUUGGAAUGUUGACCUCCUUACAACAGCUGUAAGUUAUAUAUAUAUAUAUAUAUAUAUUUGUCAAACAUGAAGUAACCUCUUCAUCAUUUUCAGUGCAGAUGCCAAGUGUGUUGCUCAUGGCAGCAUUGCCCAAUUUUCCUAUAGUAUGUGUCAAUUCUCCGUGCUCCUUCUCCCUUAUUGAAUUAGAAUUUUUUUUUUCUAGGAUUUAUUGAAUCAAAAUCUAACUUAAGAAAACUCUUGGUUUCUCUGCAUUUCUCUGAUUUUCCUUUCACACAUUUCUCAAAAAACUAAAAGUUUUAUGGUGCAAGUCAAGUUGAUUAAGUUCAAAACUGAGUGGAUAACUGUGUAUACUUGUAUAUUAGACACCUGUGGUCAAGGUAAUAAUUCAUGAACUGAUCUAUGCUACUUAAUUAUCUUUUUCAGAAAUAUGUUACAUUUUGAAAAUCACAUGUCAAUAUGGACUUCAUCGUAUGACAAUUUUUCAAUCAAACACCUCAAUCAUUUAACAAGUGCAUGAUUAAUUGAUUUGUCUAUUUCCUUGCAGUUCUUAAUGCAAGGAAAAAUUGGUGGCUAUGCAUCAGUCUUUGAGAAGUACCAAGAGAAGAAAGAAUCCUUUAUGUGAGACCCUUUAAACAUUAGUACAUCAAGUUAUUUUGCAUUCAAAUAGAAUAAUAUUAAGAUUAGGAUUUUGAUCA
Long non-coding RNA from Quercus robur (English oak), 1943 nucleotides. RefSeq lists it as uncharacterized. The record is from RefSeq and is a predicted model, not a curated record. The transcript has 2 exons. NCBI's taxonomy places the organism in Eukaryota, Viridiplantae, Streptophyta, Magnoliopsida, Fagales, Fagaceae.